This 29-nucleotide non-coding RNA is filed under the name Mus musculus (house mouse). Lineage: Eukaryota; Metazoa; Chordata; Mammalia; Rodentia; Muridae. The record is from RNAcentral.
UACCCUUGACUUUGGGCCAUGAUGUUGUU